RNAcentral lists this ribosomal RNA (301 nucleotides) under uncultured bacterium. RNAcentral's name for it is "partial 16S ribosomal RNA". It matches the Rfam family "Bacterial small subunit ribosomal RNA", at positions 509 to 807 of the family's 1533-position model. The record is from RNAcentral.
CAGCAGCCGCGGGAAUACAGAGGAUGCAAGCGUUAUCCGGAAUGAUUGGGCAUAAAGUGUCUGUAGGUGGCUUUUCAAGUCCGCCGUCAAAUCCCAGGGCUCAACCGUGGACAGGCGGUGGAAACUACCAAGCUGGAGUAUGGUAGGGGCAGAGGGAAUCUCCGGUGGAGCGGUGAAAUGCGUUGAGAUCGGAAGGAACGCCCGUGGCGAAAGCGAGGCCCUGGACCCUUUCUGACGCUGAGACGCGAAAGCCAGGGGAGCGAACGGGAUUAGAUACCCCAGUAGUCCCUGUCUCUUAUAC